CCUACGGGAGGCUGCAGUGGGGGAUAUUGCACAAUGGGGGAAACCCUGAUGCAGCGACGCCGCGUGAGUGAAGAAGCGCCUCGGCGCGUAAAGCCCUGUCAGCAGGGAAGAAAAUGACGGUACCUGAAGAAGAAGCCCCGGCUAACUACGUGCCAGCAGCCGCGGUAAUACGGAGGGGGCAAGCGUUAUCCGGAUUUACUGGGUGUAAAGGGGGCGCAGACGGCGCGGCAAGCCAGGAGUGAAAGCCCGGGGCCCAACCCCGGGACUGCUCUGGGAACUGGGGGGCUAGAGUGCAGGAGGGGCAGGCGGAAUUCCUGGUGUAGCGGUGAAAUGCGUAGAUAUCAGGAGGAACAUCGGUGGCGAAGGCGGUUUGCUGGACUGUAACUGACGUUGAGGCACGAAAGCGUGGGGAGCAAACAGGAUUAGAUACCCGUGUAGUC
This 440-nucleotide ribosomal RNA is filed under the name uncultured bacterium. RNAcentral's name for it is "partial 16S ribosomal RNA". It matches the Rfam family "Bacterial small subunit ribosomal RNA", at positions 338 to 795 of the family's 1533-position model. The record is from RNAcentral.